AUGAAGAUCAUUCUCAGCAAUCGGACCGUCGACAUUCUGGACAAUGUCGACAUCACUCUGAAGGGUCGCACAGUCAUUGUGAAGGGCCCCAGGGGAACUCUGCAGAGGGAUUUCAAUCACAUCAACGUGGAACUGAGUCUUCUAGGAAAGAAAAAGAUAAGGCUCAGGUUGACAAAUGGUGGGGUAACAGAAAGGAAUUGGCCACCAUCAGAAACAUCUGCAGUCAUGUUCAGAACAUGAUCAAGGGUGUCACACUGGGCUUCCAUUACAAGAUGCGGUCUAUGUAUGGUCACUUCCCCAUCAACGUCGUUAUCCAGGAGAAUGGGUCUCUGGUUGAAAUCUGAAAUUUCUUGGGUGAAAAAUCCAUCCGCAGGGUUUCGACGAGAACAGGUACUGCUUGUUCUGUCUCUCAAGCCCAGGAGGGUGAGUUAGUCCUUGAAGGAAAUGAUAUUGAACUUGUUUCAAAUUCAGCGCCCUGAUUCAGCAAGCCACAACAGUUCAAAACAUGGGUAUCAGGAAGUUUUUGGACGGCAUCUAUGUGUCUGGGAAGGGAACCUUGCAGCAGGCUGACGAGUGA
Molecule: long non-coding RNA, 577 nt
Filed under: Mus musculus (house mouse)
Lineage: Eukaryota; Metazoa; Chordata; Mammalia; Rodentia; Muridae
Description: long non-coding RNA chr11:46562030-46562607
Source: RNAcentral